This 858-nucleotide long non-coding RNA is filed under the name Marmota monax (woodchuck). Lineage: Eukaryota; Metazoa; Chordata; Mammalia; Rodentia; Sciuridae. The record is from RNAcentral.
UCCUUUUGGGCUUUGCUCUACUCCCUCUCUCACUCCAUGAGUUUACCUAUUGAACUCUCCUAUAUAAGCCUUUGCUCCUUCUAGAUUAUGCUUCCUCUUCUCUUACUCCCCUGAUCUUGCUGCUGAAAUUUUCUGCUCCUUUAGUUGAUUUCAUGACCUCAGCUUUCUCUCUUCUCCCAGACUUUUAGCCUUCUCUGGGAUUUCUUCCUCUCUUCAGCCUGAAUCCAGGGCUCAUCAUACGCUGAUAUUUUUAUCAGCAUCCUAAAUUUUCCCAUCCCCUCCAACUUUUGCUGGACCUAUCAACCCUCCUCCAUUUUCUGCAUCAGCCUAUUUUCUUCUCCUUUUUCCUGGCUGCUAAAUGCGACACACUCAUAAUUGACAGGCCCAGUAUUUAUUGGAAAUUCAUUAACUUGUCAUUACUCUUCUUUCCUAUCCAUGCCCUUUGUGUCAGCUCUCAGCAAAAUGACUGACCUCAGUGUCUGCUUCACAGAAGUGAGAUCAAAGCAAGAACUUCCUUGUCCACUUUUCUCUCUCCCUUCUAUUGACCUCUGUUGGUACCUCUCCUCAUUUCCUUCCCUCUUCCUCCUAGUUUUCUAUUUAAAAAAUCCUAUUAUAUGCCUUCAAGGCUUUGCUCCCUCACUGCUGCUCCCACUUCCUGGGGUCUUCUGUCUCCCUCUCCUUUGGUUACCUCCAAGUACUCUGCAAGCAACCAAAGUUCUCACACGAUUAAUAAAAAUGUUUAGGAUUUGUUGUCCUUUGCACUCUUCCCUUAUUAGCUAAGCUUGUUUAAAAAAUACACACAGACAUACACACACACAUAAUUUUUUUAUUUGGUACUCCUAUAAGCUCAGCAACUUG